RNAcentral lists this ribosomal RNA (437 nucleotides) under uncultured Oscillospiraceae bacterium. Its description in RNAcentral is "partial 16S ribosomal RNA". It matches the Rfam family "Bacterial small subunit ribosomal RNA", at positions 341 to 792 of the family's 1533-position model. The record is from RNAcentral. Lineage: Bacteria; Bacillati; Bacillota; Clostridia; Eubacteriales; Oscillospiraceae.
ACGGGAGGCAGCAGUUGGGAAUAUUGCGCAAUGGGGGCAACCCUGACGCAGCAACGCCGCGUGAAGGAAGACGGUUUUCGGAUUGUAAACUUCUUUUAUUGAGGACGAAGACAAUGACGGUACUCAAUGAAUAAGCUCCGGCUAACUACGUGCCAGCAGCCGCGGUAAUACGUAGGGAGCAAGCGUUGUCCGGAAUUACUGGGUGUAAAGGGCGAGUAGGCGGACUCAACAGUCAGGUGUGAAAUACCGGGGCUUAACCCCGGGGCUGCAUUUGAAACUAUGAGUCUUGAGAGAUGGAGAGGUAAGCGGAAUUCCUAGUGUAGCGGUGAAAUGCGUAGAUAUUAGGAGGAACACCAGUGGCGAAGGCGGCUUACUGGACAUCUACUGACGCUGAGGAGCGAAAGCGUGGGGAGCAAACAGGAUUAGAUACCCUGGUA